CUCUUUUUGGCAUGUAAUCCAGGAACAUUAUCGGAGAGGGUUUCCAGAGGAGCAUCCAGGAAGCUGGGAAGCGAUAGAACAGAUGGUCCCAUUGUGAAAUCUGGCCUUUCCCUCCCGCCUUGUGGGUAAGCGUGGCAGGAUUAGACCCAGCGGGGCUCACUUGGGUGCCUCACCAGGCAGAGCACGGGGCCCCUUGCAGCCUGGGGCCUCCCAGAAGUUCAGGCUGGACGGGCCUGUGCCAUUGUAGGAUGGGGCAUCCGGGGCCCAAGGUCACAUGAUGGACAGCCGCUCAGUGACUUCUGCACCACAAACAGCAGCCUCCUGGCCCCUCCACAGGCAAGAGUCCUCUGCCCAGGCCCACGGCCCUGCCACUGCCCAGGACCGGGGGAUGGAGUGUCCGGCUUGCUAUCUUCAGACAGAACAGAGGGGCCCCAGGCCCAGACGGAGCCUUGGGCAGCAAAGGACAGCCCAUUGACACGGACCAGCUGAGGCAGGAAAGGGACAAGACACUCGAGAGAGCGUCUCCACAGCAAGUACGGGGUUGAGGGACCCAGCAAGGCCGUGCCGGGCAGAGCUGCUGGACGAGGUGUGUGUGUGAGUGAGCUGGAGGUGGUUGGCAGGAAAAGCACCCGUCCCGGCUGAGCCCAUGCUCCUGGGGCUGCGGGGUCAAGGAGACAGUGCACAGCUGGCCGGGCCUUCAGGAUCCUGGAGGUGCUCGGGGCAGGCGCCUUCAGUCAACACUCCAGGACACCGGGUCCCGGGGAAGCAGUGAAUUGCCUGUCAGGAGCCACGCCUGGCAAAGAUGGAAAAGGAAAAGGCUGUUAUCGACGGAGCAGGAGGGGUCCAGGCUGGAGGCUGGAGGGAAGUCACCACGGGCCCGGACGGUCAGGACGGCUUCCUCCUUCCAGUAAGAGGAUGCAUGAGGAACAUGCCUAAGGGGGAAGGGGCGGUGGGACAGUGGAAGUCAGUAGAAUAAGUCAGUCCACACAAGACAGACUGAUGAGCUGACUUUCUAAAGCAAAAAAAAAAAAAAAAAAAAA
Long non-coding RNA from Equus caballus (horse), 1040 nucleotides. RefSeq lists it as uncharacterized. The record is from RefSeq and is a predicted model, not a curated record. Lineage: Eukaryota; Metazoa; Chordata; Mammalia; Perissodactyla; Equidae.